GUACAGGAAAAACUGCCAAUGCAGCCUUUCCUAAUUGCACCAGGGUCUUCAUUCAGGUUCUUGUUUACAGUUCUUCAUAAGGGAACAUUUUAACAAUUCAAAUGGAAACAGUGACAACUGACAAGAAAGCUGUUCUAGUCCGCCAUCGCCAAGUUGCCAUCAGUGUGAUGCGGGAACAGCGUCUGAUGACGGCAUGACUUUUGUUGAGGCCAUGCGCUAAAGGGAUUAGCUAUUUAAAGCCAGAGUCGACAGUGGAAAUUUCCCAUGUCCUCUGUAUCCAAGGGAGAUUGAUAGACGCGGCGUUGGUGAAGAGGUAAAUGGCAUUUACGCUAUAGCAUCUGUCUGGGGAAUUAGAUCUGCCUACCUCGCGACAUCAGUGAGGACAAAUCAGCAAAGAGCAAAUUACACAAUUUCUUAGAGAACUCAAAGAAAACCUACUAAAUAAAUAACAAGUUCGGAACAACUGGAUUAUUGAUUUACAGGCUGGCUCCCCUGGCUGCUGCCCCCAUGGGUGUGAAGGUCCUCCAGUGUUUUCCCUGGUACAGGAGGUGUAAAGACCGGGGCAAGGCCAGACACUGCCCCCCAAAAGCCUUUCCAUGCAUCGAGACGGAGCCCCCGUUUGCUCCAACAAGCCAUGCCAGUGAUGAUGCUGGAGGAGUUGUCUACUUUUCCCACAAGGCCAGAGUGGCCUACAGACAUCAGAUGGAAGGAAAUGUUAUAGAUGCCACCUACUGACCCAGAGGCUUGUCCUCCAGCCUCUGCUGUAGAAACACACUUUAAAGACUGUCAGGUCAGAAGGCUGUCUUAAUACGGACUGUAACCAUUUGCUUCAUUUAACCUGUCCAGACAGGAGAAUCACACUCUAGUUGAUAGUUAAUGAGCUGAGCUCUUGUCAAGGUUGGAGAUGCUUGAAAAAGAUGAAGGCUGAUGCGUUAUUUUGGAGAAUUGUCUGAUGAAUAUUAGAAUAUCUUUGAAAGAUUGCAGGUAACAAUUCUUGUAGAUAUGCGUUAACAAAACAUGUCGUUUACACUCUUGCCUUAAAGUGCAUUCUUCUUCUGUUAUUUUAUAAUUAGUCACUUUAUUUAUUGGCCUACAAUCCAAGUUGUGUAUUUCUGUCUGUUAUGCUAAAUGGGUUUGUAUCUAAACUAUUGUGUAGUAGUCCAUUUGCUGUAAAAUCUCUGCAAGUAGCAAGUGAUGUAUAACUACUGCUCAGCUAUACAAUUUAUGUGAAAUUUGUUAUUAACAUCACUUUACUGUAUAUUCUGUUUGUAUUUUCUAUCAUAAUCAGGACAUGCUAAUGCUAGGUUAAUAAUAAUGUGCAUUUUCAUUUACAUUUUGGAUUGCUGUUAAUAGCUUCCAGUUUAUGUAACCUUUGUACUGUGCUUCUAGUUGGGUCCAUGUUCUCUGUUAUCCUAUCACAGCUUUUAAACAGUUUUAUGAUUAAGACUGUAUUUUUGUAAGCCUGGGGAUGUCCUCAACUAACAGGCCUUUGUGACAGACAGUAAACACUGGUUAAAGAUUAACACUUAGUGAUGUGACCAAGCUGGAGGGAACUAUGGAGGUCAAUUUGACAGUGAAGCAGACAUGUUUUAUAUGUUUUAUAACCCUUUGUCCAUCAUAUGGAUGGACUAAGGGUUGAAUAUUGAAUGUGAGAGAGAAGUGAGAAGAGAGAGACAUUGAAUACUUCCAUGGAGAAAUACUCCAGUAUAUCUAGAGGUACUCAUUGUCAUGGUUUGUUUCAAACCCUUUCACAUGAGCAUCCAUUCAGUCUAUUUGAUAUCACUUCUAACUCAUUGUGUAGGUGCCCUUAUACCUACAUAUCAAAUAUGGAUAUCAUAUUUAAAUACAGCUGCCUGUUUUAUACCUUUACCUGUUUCAUUACCAUAGUAUAUUAUAAUGACAACCAGUUGUUUCAAUAAACAGUCAACCUAACUGCAAAUCUGAAAUGAAUCAAGUGUGGUAAAUGUUGUAAUCUGCAACAAUAUUAUGCAGACUUUAUAUUAACAAAUUACCAUAGUAUUAUGUUGGCAGUUUAACUGCAGCCUUGGAUAAUAUGAGGGAUUUCCUUGGUGUUUACCGCUUAGCUUACCUUGUCAACUCAAAUCAUUGAUCAAGUCGUGACUUUCUAAUUAAAUGACAAAGC
Esox lucius (northern pike) is the source of this 2143-nucleotide long non-coding RNA. NCBI's taxonomy places the organism in Eukaryota, Metazoa, Chordata, Actinopteri, Esociformes, Esocidae. The record is from Ensembl.